CGCAGCGGUGAGCGAAAAAUGUUUUGCGAACGCGCGCAGCGAAAUAUUCAGGAUCCAGCACAUGACUUACGGCUUUCAUAUUUACAUCGACUUUGGAUUCGCAACUAUGAGAACCGCGGCAAUGGCUCUGACGGCACCUUGCAAUCUACGGCGGUGAACGAGUAUCUAAACGCCAGUGGCAUUCCUCUCUUGCUUGCGUUACGCCUGUGAAAUCCGACAGCGGUGGCAGCAUGUCGUCCGAUCCGCCUUCAACUGAACGCUCGCCGACUGAUGCGGAAGGAGCGGUUUGCCUCUUGCUUGCGGUGCGCCUGUACUUCACAGCGGUGGCAGUAUGGCGUCCGAUCCGCCUUCAACUGAACGCUCGCCAACUGGUGCGGAAGGAGCGGUUUGCCUCUUGCUUGCGUUGCGCCUGUGAAACGUGACAACGGUGGCAGCAUGUCGUCCGAUCCGGCUUAAACUGAACGCUCGCCGACUGGUGCGGAAGAAGCGGCUUGCCUCGUUUCGCAGGGGCCAUCAAAGAAAAUCGUGAAGCUCACAGGCGCCCGGAAACUCGCCGACCUCCACGAAAGCCUGCGGACGGGAGGGUUCGUGUACCUGAUGACAGGCAACGAUCUUCUAAUACAGAUCUUCCAACGACCGGUUGCAGUGCUACAUCGACAUGGGUGAAAGCACGACGGUGUGUGAUGGAGCAUUGAUUAACUUGGUUGUCUCCCCAAGCCACUCCGAAGCAUCAGAGGCACAAAAAAAGCCGUUGUCUGGUAGUGCGGUUGGACAUGCGGAGAAUGCAGUCAAAGGACAGUACAAGGAAUUGUCAACGUACACACUGCCUCUGAUGCCCAUUGACGUUGCUGCACACCUCUGAAAUAUUACAGCAGGAGGCGUGCCUGACAAUCUUCAAAAGAAAAUUGAAUGGAUUGCCUACAAUUCGUCAUCACAGACAAUGUACCCAAGUAAAUUGUGCAAUGUUGCUGCAAGGAGCCUCGUAAACCAGUUCCCAGCACUGAGGGACACAUUGCCCCUUGGCCAUUUCUCAUGGUAUAUGUGCCUAAGAAACAAGUACAAAAACAUGCGAAAGUGAAUGCCACCAGGAUGCCCUGAAGUCGAUGCAGAAGUGAAAGCAAGAAAGGCAAGCGAAAUUGUGACACAUGCUCAAAAUCUGGAUUUUGAAGACUGGUGAUCAGCUGCAAGUUUGCAUGCAUAUUUCACUAGAUAAACUGACUCUCCUUUCUUUGUUAUGUGGCUUAGUUGAAACAUUUAGUUGCUUCUCUUGAUGUACUUGUUCGUUUCAUUUACAUUUUUUCUUUAAAAAAUGCAAACAUGCAAUCCAGCUAUAGCAACUAUAUCUGCAAUGCUGUCACCAGAGAUUUUGUAGGUGAUCAAAGAACCAAAAUAUCAUAUCGCAUCGCCACCUUGAACCUAGAGGGAAACAUUAGUUCAAGAUGUAGUGGUAGGUGCAUUUAUAGACUAGUAAUACAGCAUUCAUACUGUAAUGUAUAUUGAUAUACAUGCUAAGAUGUAGCGAAAAGUGUGUGACUAUGCUGCUCUGACACUUCAGUUGUUUUAACCUUUCAUUGAUGAGUUCUGCAUACAGCAUACCAAAAAAUUUUAAUUUUUCUUGCUGAUUUUUGGCAUUGAGUAAGAAGUUUCUUGUUAAAUGUAUUGAGCCAACACUGAAUGACUGGCAGCUAGUGUCAUUUGUCGGUUUAGAGCAGAAACACAGGAUGGGAAAAAAAAAGACAUCGGACUCGUUUUCUUUGGAAAGCACGGUCAGGGGAGACAGACCAGUGCAAGAUCUGCUGUAGUGACCUCAGACACACAAUGCAAAGAGCUCUCUGUAUAGAUUCCAAACGCAGCCAUAUGUCGCUUGGGGAGAAACCCACUUCUUCCCCUAUACUAUAAAGGAGUUUCUACAAAAUAUCCUUUAUUUUUGUUGAUUAUGCUUAUUCUCAAUGUCUUUUGCACAUUUAGGAAAAUAAUUUGUUUUGUAUUUAUAUGCGUGGUCAUUAAAGGGUUAGACAAAUAAAGUGGUUCCAAUGAAUGUGAAUGUAUAACUUUAGCGACUCUAGUCGCAAUGUGUUGAUCAUUCCACAAUCUUUGUGAGAGCACGAAACAGGAACUAGGCAGCAUGAAAAUCACUCAGCACUACCAAGAAGGAAGCUUCAGCACUUAUACAGUACUGUAGAAUACACUUCUUCUAUGCUGUACCUGUGGUGUCCUUUUUAUUAUGUGGUCUUGAUCCCACUAUGGGGAAAUAACUCUGCUUUGCAAGUGCAUUGCAGUACUUUAAUACUUUAACUGCUUGCUGCAAAAGGAAAGUGCCAUUAGAGUAUUACAUAAGGAUCAUGUGUUAUGAGGCAGUUGCUAGACGUGGUAUGUCACAGCUCUGAGUUGCCGGCGGCCAUUAUAAUCAGCUGUUUUCUGUGGCAUUGUUAACUUGACAGAACAUUGUGAGCAUUAUCUGAUCAGUAAACAAUACUACAUAAUUCUGGCCCUUAUUUGGAACUUUGUCUCAUCUCUGUGAUGCGCGCAACCCGCUUUUGAUGUUACUGAGAUGGAGUGACUCCUUGCAAAGCAGCAGGGUAGUUCUGUUAAUGAUGCUGUCAUUCACACUUACGCAAAUUGUUUAGUAGGCAUUAGCUCAGUGCCAUUCCCCCAUAGAAUCACAGCUUGCAUUUCAUUCAUGUAUAAUAGAAACAUUCUGUAGAUUUCAUGUGAAAAUGUGACAUUGGAGGGCAUUAUGCUAUAAGUUCACAGCAGUGAGCCCCAUUAUUGGAAGACAGCUGUUGUCUCAAAUUACUUACAACAAAGUGAAGCCAUGUACAUUCUCGCCUUAACUACUGCAGUUUAGUAUGGGCCACAAUGACCAUAACAAACAUAAAUAAGGUUCUCGUAUUGCAAAAGAAAAUUGUUCAAAUAAUCGCUAAUGUUGAUAAUACAACUACCUCCAAAUGUGCAUUUGAAGCACAUAACAUUGUCCGCGUCAAUCAUUUGUAUAACUUUAAGUUGUUACAAAAAAUUUAUUUCUCAAUGGCAUCCACUGCCGAUUUUUAUUCUGCUCUGGCAUCUUUGGACAUGCGUCGUGCUAACAUACUCACAAGACCUAUUAAUACAUAGAUUAUACCAUGUUUUCGCGCUAAUUAUAAAUUGCAAAUGUUGUCUUAUAACCUGCCCCAUGUUCUAAAAGGGUAUACCAAAGCUGAGCUGCGUAAAUAUUUUGUUGAAAUGUGAUUUUAUGUGUUGAAAUGUGAUUUUAUGUCUUUGCUAGUAGAUGCUGCAUGUUUGCUUGGUUAUUACUUUUAUUAUUUCUGAACAUAAGUGUGACCAUUUCAGCGUUUCGAUUUUACUGUUCAAAUUUUGUGCAAAGAUUAUUAGACUCUGUAUGCAUAAAUAGUGAAUGUUUCUCUUUAUUGAAUGUGACUAUUCUAUGUGUGUCUGUUGAAGAUUUCCUGCACCACUCCUGUGCUACUGCUUGUAGGGGUUUCCUGGACACGGUCAAGCUGUGCAGGCAGCUUUUUGCCAAAAACCUACCCUCCAGUUGAAUCUGGAAAAUGAACUUAUACUUAUAUCCUUAUACUUAUUUAAAUAUGUUCUGCUUAUUGUGUAUCCACAUGUGUGGGCUUGUGAUAUGCCCUGAUGGCAAGGCCAUUUGUGGUUCGUUCAAAGAGAACAUUUACGGAUGCAUUAUAGCUAUUCUCAGGCUCCUCUCUUCCUGCUGUAAACUGGAUUCUCUGCUUAUAAGAAAUAAGUGUUCCUUGUGAUUACUAUAUGUGCCCUUGCUAAAGGUUACUGUGAUGUGUUCAUGUUCUUAUUGAAUAAAAUGUUUACAAAGUUUUAA
Dermacentor andersoni is the source of this 3835-nucleotide long non-coding RNA. RefSeq lists it as uncharacterized. NCBI's taxonomy places the organism in Eukaryota, Metazoa, Arthropoda, Arachnida, Ixodida, Ixodidae. The record is from RefSeq and is a predicted model, not a curated record.